RNAcentral lists this ribosomal RNA (331 nucleotides) under uncultured bacterium. Its description in RNAcentral is "bacterial SSU rRNA". It matches the Rfam family "Bacterial small subunit ribosomal RNA", at positions 568 to 898 of the family's 1533-position model. The record is from RNAcentral.
CGUGUAGGCGGCUCAGCAAGUCAGGUGUGAAAGCCCUCGGCUUAACCGAGGAAGUGCGCCUGAAACUACUGGACUUGAGUGCCGGAGAGGGUGGCGGAAUUCCCGGUGUAGAGGUGAAAUUCGUAGAUAUCGGGAGGAACACCAGCGGCGAAGGCGGCCACCUGGACGGCGACUGACGCUGAGACGCGAAAGCGUGGGGAGCAAACAGGAUUAGAUACCCUGGUAGUCCACGCUGUAAACGAUGAGCGCUAGGUGUUGUGGGUGUUGACCCCGCAGUGCCGCAGCUAACGCAUUAAGCGCUCCGCCUGGGAAGUACGGCCGCAAGGCUAAA